AGGUUGCUCAGAACCAUCGCGAGGGUGCUCAGCACCAUCCCGAGGGUGCAGGAUUAGUCCCGAGGGUGAUGAGCACCAUCCCGAGGGUGCUCAGCACCAUCCCGAGGGUGCAGGAUUAGUCCCGAGGGUGCUCAGCACCAUCCCGAGGGUGCAGGAUGAAUCCCGAGGGUGCUCAGCACCAUCCCGAGGGUGCUCAGCACCAUCCCGAGGGUGCAGGAUGAGUGCCGAGGGUGCUCAGCACCAUCCCGAGGGUGCAGGAUGAAUCCCGAGGGUGCUCAGCACCAUCCCGAGAGUGCAGGAUGAGUGCCGAGGGUGCUCAGCACCAUCCCGAAGGUGCUCAGCACCAUCCCGAGGGUGCAGGAUGAGUGCCGAGGGUGCUCAGCACCAUCCCGAGGGUGCUCAGCACCAUCCCGAGGGUGCAGGAUUAGUCCCGAGGGUGCUCAGCACCAUCCCUAGGGUGCUCAGCACCGUUCCGAGGGUGCAGGAUGAAUCCCGAGGGUGCUCAGCACCAUCCCGAGGGUGCUUAGCACCGUCCCGAGGGUGCAGGAUGAAUCCCGAGGGUGCUCAGCACCAUCCCGAGGGUGCUCAGCACCAUCCCGAGGGUGCAGGAUGAAUCCCGAGGGUGCUCAGCACCAUCCCGAGGGUGCUCAGCACCAUCCCGAGGGUGCAGGAUGAGUGCCGAGGGUGCUCAGCACCAUCCCGAAGGUGCUCAGCACCAUCCCGAGGGUGCAGGAUGAGUGCCGAGGGUGCUCAGCACCAUCCCGAGGGUGCUCAGCACCAUCCCGAGGGUGCAGGAUUAGUCCCGAGGGUGCUCAGCACCAUCCCGAGGGUGCUCAGCACCGUUCCGAGGGUGCAGGAUGAAUCCCGAGGGUGCUCAGCACCAUCCCGAGGGUGCUCAGCACCAUCCCGAGGGUGCAGGAUGAAUCCCGAGGGUGCUCAGCACCAUCCCGAGGGUGCUCAGCACCAUCCCGAGGGUGCAGGAUGAGUGCCGAGGGUGCUCAGCACCAUCCCGAGGGUGCUCAGCACCAUCCCGAGGGUGCAGGAUGAAUCCCGAGGGUGCUCAGCACCGUCCCGAGGGUGCUUAGCACCGUCCCGAGGGUGCAGGAUGAGUGCCGAGGGUGCUGAGCUCCCAUGGGCCGCAGCCUCAAAGCUUCCGCCAAUCCCGGCCUGCCUUGCUCCGCUCUGGCCAAUCACAGCAGCCCUUUGAAUCCGGGCGCGGUCCCGCCAAGCUCUGCCCGCUCUGUCGCGGCCCGGCCCCUCAGCCAGGCCGGCCCCGCUCCCCCGUUCUGCUGAGGCGCCGCUGCGGCCGCUGUCGCUUUGGGAUCCGGCGGAGCCGUGCUGCCGCAGCCCCGGCAGCCCUGGGCUGCAGUGAGAAGCAGGAGCAGCUUUUAGCCACCGGCAGUGGGAAGCUGAGGAGCUGGAACUGAGGAAGCAGAGCUGGAGGAGACACAAAUAUGGGCCAAAUACAAGUGGCAAAACAACAUUGGCAUGCAUCUCCUGGAGGAGAGGAGUUUCUGGUGGGCUCCCAGUGACAUCUCAUGGAGUGACGGUGAGAGCAUCUCAUAGGGUCUGGGGGAGCACCUGGAUGCACUUGGACCCGGAGCACCGCUUAAAGGAGGUGGUGAGGGACAAAGCUUUUUGCCAGGAAGCAGCACCUGAACAGCUGAGCCGGUGUGGAUUUGCAGGGGUGAUCUUUCUCCUUUUCCCUUUUGAUUUCACUUUGGCAGUCCCUCCCCGGUGCCCUCAAUCUGUCACAAGAAUUCCAAGAAAAAAAAAGGCUGAGCAAACAGUGAAAAGAAGGGGUAUAGGUAAGGUGGAGUUCAGGUGUACCCCACCCCAAACCCUAAACAGCAGCCCUAACAGUGCUCCCGUUUCCCUGAGACAGCUGCAGGCAGGAACCCUAAAGCAGCAGAGUGCCAGAACCCCUGGUACUGCAGACAGUACCCCUGGUGCUAGGGUCAGCCAGGAGAUAGUGGGGGGACGAUCCGUAGGGUUGGGGAAACAGGGGGUUUCCCGCCCCGCCCCACCCUGGGCUCUCGGUCCCUCCGC
Long non-coding RNA from Poecile atricapillus (Black-capped chickadee), 2049 nucleotides. RefSeq lists it as uncharacterized. The transcript is spliced from 3 exons. The record is from RefSeq and is a predicted model, not a curated record. NCBI's taxonomy places the organism in Eukaryota, Metazoa, Chordata, Aves, Passeriformes, Paridae.